This is a long non-coding RNA of Rana temporaria (common frog), 537 nucleotides long. RefSeq lists it as uncharacterized. NCBI's taxonomy places the organism in Eukaryota, Metazoa, Chordata, Amphibia, Anura, Ranidae. The record is from RefSeq and is a predicted model, not a curated record. The transcript has 4 exons.
GCGCAUCUAUGACGUCAUCACGUUAUACGUCCAUGUGAUCCCACAGCCUAUAUAAACCUGAUGCUCAUGCAAUGGCGCUGUGUCACCGUGUGUACACCCUGGGACACAGACGCAUUGCUGCUGCAAUCAGUUAUAGGGCCUGUACAAAAGCCCCAUACAAAGGCUGCUACAGAAAGGGUUUCUCUAUGUAAGCCCCUCCACAUUGCUGUUAUACUGCCAUCUGUUGUCCCAGUGUGCUCAGGACUUCAUAAAAAUAGUCCGAGUAUUAACUCUUCCUGUGGUACAUAUCUUCCACCUUUUGGACUUGCAGUCUUGACUCUUUCGACUCACCUAAGAUUUUCGAUAUAUGGAAACUUGUGCCUAAAGCUUACCUUCCGACUUGGUAUAUUUCCAUCUUAUAUGCCCCGUGGACGCACCCAUCGAGGGACCACCAGCCAUGUAAAUACACACUAUGACACUUUUAUGCAUUGCAUUUUAUUUUAAUUCUAUAUUUUGAUUAAUAUUUUUGUUUGACUAAUAUGCCACACUGUAUCAUUG